CUGCUAAUACCGCAUAAGCCCACGGGUCGGCAUCGACCAGAGGGAAAAGGAGCAAUCCGCUUUGAGAUGGCCUCACGUCCGAUUAGCUAGUUGGUGAGGUAAUGGCCCACCAAGGCAACGAUCGGUAGCCGGACUGAGAGGUUGAACGGCCACAUUGGGACUGAGACACGGCCCAGACUCCUACGGGGAGGCAGCAUG
RNAcentral lists this ribosomal RNA (198 nucleotides) under uncultured bacterium. Its description in RNAcentral is "partial 16S ribosomal RNA". It matches the Rfam family "Bacterial small subunit ribosomal RNA", at positions 160 to 353 of the family's 1533-position model. The record is from RNAcentral.